RNAcentral lists this ribosomal RNA (2892 nucleotides) under Escherichia coli. Its description in RNAcentral is "bacterial LSU rRNA". It matches the Rfam family "Bacterial large subunit ribosomal RNA". Lineage: Bacteria; Pseudomonadati; Pseudomonadota; Gammaproteobacteria; Enterobacterales; Enterobacteriaceae. The record is from RNAcentral.
ACUAAGCGUACACGGUGGAUGCCCUGGCAGUCAGAGGCGAUGAAGGACGUGCUAAUCUGCGAUAAGCGUCGGUAAGGUGAUAUGAACCGUUAUAACCGGCGAUUUCCGAAUGGGGAAACCCAGUGUGAUUCGUCACACUAUCAUUAACUGAAUCCAUAGGUUAAUGAGGCGAACCGGGGGAACUGAAACAUCUAAGUACCCCGAGGAAAAGAAAUCAACCGAGAUUCCCCCAGUAGCGGCGAGCGAACGGGGAGCAGCCCAGAGCCUGAAUCAGUGUGUGUGUUAGUGGAAGCGUCUGGAAAGGCGCGCGAUACAGGGUGACAGCCCCGUACACAAAAAUGCACAUACUGUGAGCUCGAUGAGUAGGGCGGGACACGUGGUAUCCUGUCUGAAUAUGGGGGGACCAUCCUCCAAGGCUAAAUACUCCUGACUGACCGAUAGUGAACCAGUACCGUGAGGGAAAGGCGAAAAGAACCCCGGCGAGGGGAGUGAAAAAGAACCUGAAACCGUGUACGUACAAGCAGUGGGAGCCUCUUAAUGGGGUGACUGCGUACCUUUUGUAUAAUGGGUCAGCGACUUAUAUUCUGUAGCAAGGUUAACCGAAUAGGGGAGCCGAAGGGAAACCGAGUCUUAACUGGGCGUUAAGUUGCAGGGUAUAGACCCGAAACCCGGUGAUCUAGCCAUGGGCAGGUUGAAGGUUGGGUAACACUAACUGGAGGACCGAACCGACUAAUGUUGAAAAAUUAGCGGAUGACUUGUGGCUGGGGGUGAAAGGCCAAUCAAACCGGGAGAUAGCUGGUUCUCCCCGAAAGCUAUUUAGGUAGCGCCUCGUGAAUUCAUCUCCGGGGGUAGAGCACUGUUUCGGCAAGGGGGUCAUCCCGACUUACCAACCCGAUGCAAACUGCGAAUACCGGAGAAUGUUAUCACGGGAGACACACGGCGGGUGCUAACGUCCGUCGUGAAGAGGGAAACAACCCAGACCGCCAGCUAAGGUCCCAAAGUCAUGGUUAAGUGGGAAACGAUGUGGGAAGGCCCAGACAGCCAGGAUGUUGGCUUAGAAGCAGCCAUCAUUUAAAGAAAGCGUAAUAGCUCACUGGUCGAGUCGGCCUGCGCGGAAGAUGUAACGGGGCUAAACCAUGCACCGAAGCUGCGGCAGCGACGCUUAUGCGUUGUUGGGUAGGGGAGCGUUCUGUAAGCCUGUGAAGGUGUACUGUGAGGUAUGCUGGAGGUAUCAGAAGUGCGAAUGCUGACAUAAGUAACGAUAAAGCGGGUGAAAAGCCCGCUCGCCGGAAGACCAAGGGUUCCUGUCCAACGUUAAUCGGGGCAGGGUGAGUCGACCCCUAAGGCGAGGCCGAAAGGCGUAGUCGAUGGGAAACAGGUUAAUAUUCCUGUACUUGGUGUUACUGCGAAGGGGGGACGGAGAAGGCUAUGUUGGCCGGGCGACGGUUGUCCCGGUUUAAGCGUGUAGGCUGGUUUUCCAGGCAAAUCCGGAAAAUCAAGGCUGAGGCGUGAUGACGAGGCACUACGGUGCUGAAGCAACAAAUGCCCUGCUUCCAGGAAAAGCCUCUAAGCAUCAGGUAACAUCAAAUCGUACCCCAAACCGACACAGGUGGUCAGGUAGAGAAUACCAAGGCGCUUGAGAGAACUCGGGUGAAGGAACUAGGCAAAAUGGUGCCGUAACUUCGGGAGAAGGCACGCUGAUAUGUAGGUGAAGCGACUUGCUCGUGGAGCUGAAAUCAGUCGAAGAUACCAGCUGGCUGCAACUGUUUAUUAAAAACACAGCACUGUGCAAACACGAAAGUGGACGUAUACGGUGUGACGCCUGCCCGGUGCCGGAAGGUUAAUUGAUGGGGUCAGCGCAAGCGAAGCUCUUGAUCGAAGCCCCGGUAAACGGCGGCCGUAACUAUAACGGUCCUAAGGUAGCGAAAUUCCUUGUCGGGUAAGUUCCGACCUGCACGAAUGGCGUAAUGAUGGCCAGGCUGUCUCCACCCGAGACUCAGUGAAAUUGAACUCGCUGUGAAGAUGCAGUGUACCCGCGGCAAGACGGAAAGACCCCGUGAACCUUUACUAUAGCUUGACACUGAACAUUGAGCCUUGAUGUGUAGGAUAGGUGGGAGGCUUUGAAGUGUGGACGCCAGUCUGCAUGGAGCCGGCCUUGAAAUACCACCCUUUAAUGUUUGAUGUUCUAACGUUGGCCCGUAAUCCGGGUUGCGGACAGUGUCUGGUGGGUAGUUUGACUGGGGCGGUCUCCUCCUAAAGAGUAACGGAGGAGCACGAAGGUUGGCUAAUCCUGGUCGGACAUCAGGAGGUUAGUGCAAUGGCAUAAGCCAGCUUGACUGCGAGCGUGACGGCGCGAGCAGGUGCGAAAGCAGGUCAUAGUGAUCCGGUGGUUCUGAAUGGAAGGGCCAUCGCUCAACGGAUAAAAGGUACUCCGGGGAUAACAGGCUGAUACCGCCCAAGAGUUCAUAUCGACGGCGGUGUUUGGCACCUCGAUGUCGGCUCAUCACAUCCUGGGGCUGAAGUAGGUCCCAAGGGUAUGGCUGUUCGCCAUUUAAAGUGGUACGCGAGCUGGGUUUAGAACGUCGUGAGACAGUUCGGUCCCUAUCUGCCGUGGGCGCUGGAGAACUGAGGGGGGCUGCUCCUAGUACGAGAGGACCGGAGUGGACGCAUCACUGGUGUUCGGGUUGUCAUGCCAAUGGCACUGCCCGGUAGCUAAAUGCGGAAGAGAUAAGUGCUGAAAGCAUCUAAGCACGAAACUUGCCCCGAGAUGAGUUCUCCCUGACCCUUUAAGGGUCCUGAAGGAACGUUGAAGACGACGACGUUGAUAGGCCGGGUGUGUAAGCGCAGCGAUGCGUUGAGCUAACCGGUACUAAUGAACCGUGAGGCUUAACC